RNAcentral lists this long non-coding RNA (817 nucleotides) under Dermacentor andersoni. RNAcentral describes it as "uncharacterized LOC126539392". The record is from RNAcentral. Lineage: Eukaryota; Metazoa; Arthropoda; Arachnida; Ixodida; Ixodidae.
UCAGUCUCCUUAUUGAUGUGUUGUAUUAUUAUGUGCACAAUAUUUAUAAUGCGUACUCACAUCUGUUUGUAUAUAUAAUAAUAGCGUGCACGUUCACUUUCACGAGGUACACGGCCUAUAAAGAGCUUUAAGCACGCACGUUGGGGCACAGCCUGUGGGCCAAAGCAUCCCUCGUCGCAGGUGCGUGCCAGGUCCUAGACGGUGGAGCUGCGGCCUACGACCUGCGCCAACGGCAGGGCUAUACAGCGUGCCCUCUCGCCGCAGGCAAGUUCUGACACGUGCGGCGAGCGUCGACAGCGGCGGCCACGGCUUUCGAAGUUUUGCGUGUGGAGCGAACGCUCUCCCUCACCCGUGCACACGUUCCCAUGAGCGCGGAUGAACUCGUUCCGGGGCAAGUACCUGGUCAGGCGCGACGGCACGAUCAUCACGGCCGACGCCGCACUGCGCUCCAAGCGCCUCAUCUGCCUCUACUUCGCGGCCCAGUGGUGUCCUCCCUGCGUGACCUUCACGCUAGUACUGGCCGACGCCUACCGCGAGGCCAAGAGCCAAGGACUGCCCGUCGAGCGCUCUCAAGGCCCGGUACAAGAUCGCCGCCAUACCAACGCUGGUGGUACUCAGGGCCGACGGCAGCCUGGUGUGCGCCAACGGCAGGUCCCAAAUCGUGGCCAAGUCCCACCUGGCGUUCGCGGACUGGCUCUCCUCCUCCUGAAGAAAGGGCCAACACAUAUAUGCGCCACGGUAAAAAUAAACACGCGCGUCUUGUUUUUGCGAGAAGCAACGAGCGUACCGCUGAAGAAAACAGACCGCCAACAGUCAC